GAUGAACGCUAGCGACAGGCCUAACACAUGCAAGUCGAGGGGCAGCACAAGGAGCAAUCUGAGGUGGCGACCGGCGCACGGGUGAGUAACACGUAUGCAACCUGCCUGUAAGCGGGGGAUAACCCGUUGAAGACGGACUAAUACCGCAUAAUACUGGAGAUCUGCAUGGAUAUUCAGUUAAACAUUUAUGGCUUACAGAUGGGCAUGCGCAUGAUUAGAUAGUUGGAGAGGUAACGGCUCCCCAACGUCAACGAUCAUUAGGGGUUCGUGAGAGGAAGGUCCCCCACCACUGGUACUGAGACACGGACCAGACUCCUACGGGAGGCAGCAGUGAGGAAUAUUGGUCAAUGGACGCAAGUCUGAACCAGCCACGUCGCGUGAAGGAAGACGG
This 391-nucleotide ribosomal RNA is filed under the name uncultured bacterium. Its description in RNAcentral is "bacterial SSU rRNA". It matches the Rfam family "Bacterial small subunit ribosomal RNA", at positions 28 to 414 of the family's 1533-position model. The record is from RNAcentral.